Molecule: ribosomal RNA, 509 nt
Filed under: uncultured bacterium
Lineage: Bacteria
Description: partial 16S ribosomal RNA
Rfam family: Bacterial small subunit ribosomal RNA
Source: RNAcentral
GACGAACGCUGGCGGCGUGCUUAACACAUGCAAGUCGAACGAAGAGCGACGGAAGCUUGCUUCUAUCAAUCUUAGUGGCGAACGGGUGAGUAACGCGUAAUCAACCUGCCCUUCAGAGGGGGACAACAGUUGGAAACGACUGCUAAUACCGCAUACGAUCUAAUCUCGGCAUCGAGGAUGGAUGAAAGGUGGCCUCUACAUGUAAGCUAUCACUGAAGGAGGGGAUUGCGUCUGAUUAGCUAGUUGGAGGGGUAACGGCCCACCAAGGCGAUGAUCAGUAGCCGGUCUGAGAGGAUGAACGGCCACAUUGGGACUGAGACACGGCCCAGACUCCUACGGGAGGCAGCAGUGGGGAAUCUUCCGCAAUGGACGAAAGUCUGACGGAGCACGCCGCGUGAGUGAUGACGGCCUUCGGGUUGUAAAGCUCUGUUAAUCGGGACGAAAGGCCUUCUUGCGAAUAGUGAGAAGGAUUGACGGUACCGGAAUAGAAAGCCACGGCUAACUACGUG